This 449-nucleotide ribosomal RNA is filed under the name uncultured bacterium. RNAcentral describes it as "bacterial SSU rRNA". It matches the Rfam family "Bacterial small subunit ribosomal RNA", at positions 354 to 795 of the family's 1533-position model. The record is from RNAcentral.
GUGGGGAAUAUUGGACAAUGGGCGAAAGCCUGAUCCAGCCAUGCCGCGUGUGUGAAGAAGGUCUUCGGAUUGUAAAGCACUUUAAGUUGGGAGGAAGGGCAGUAAGUUAAUACCUUGCUGUUUUGACGUUACCGACAGAAUAAGCACCGGCUAACUUCGUGCCAGCAGCCGCGGUAAUACGAAGGGUGCAAGCGUUAAUCGGAAUUACUGGGCGUAAAGCGCGCGUAGGUGGUUUUGUAAGUUGGAGGUGAAAUCCCCGGGCUCAACCUGGGAACUGCCUCCAAAACUGCAUGACUAGAGUACGGUAGAGGGUAGUGGAAUUUCCUGUGUAGCGGUGAAAUGCGUAGAUAUAGGAAGGAACACCAGUGGCGAAGGCGACUACCUGGACUGAUACUGACACUGAGGUGCGAAAGCGUGGGGAGCAAACAGGAUUAGAUACCCUAGUAGUC